RNAcentral lists this ribosomal RNA (400 nucleotides) under Anopheles eiseni. RNAcentral describes it as "eukaryotic LSU rRNA". The stretch from base 1 to 89 matches the Rfam family "5.8S ribosomal RNA", at positions 66 to 154 of the family's 154-position model. The record is from RNAcentral. Lineage: Eukaryota; Metazoa; Arthropoda; Insecta; Diptera; Culicidae.
UGUGAACUGCAGGACACAUGAACACCGAUACGUUGAACGCAUAUUGCGCAUCGUGCGACACAGCUCGAUGUACACAUUUCCGAGUGCCUAUGCUUUAUCAUGAUGAAACCGAUGGGUCGGUGCGGCGCACGCUGUGCUCGGCCGUCACUCAUCAAAGAUGCGGUCGCUACGGCGGCUGUGAAUAAGUGAAGCGAGUCAUGUUCCGUCCGGCGACUCCGGUGGCCUUCGGGGAUGAACACAGCGCCUCGCGUAAGAGCGUGUGUUGACAUCGCCCGGGGUACGGUCACUGCGAGAAGCCGGUCGGACGGGGACCGCGGAACGUUAGGAGGAUUGGCACCCUCCUGCGUGGGGGUUAGGUAGGGCUUCGAUAUUGUGUGGCUACCCCCUGAAUUUAAGCAUA